GAAAUUAACUUGAAUAAGCGAGUUCGGUAUUCCGAAAAAGGCAAAGAAUCAUGGGAUUUAUCAAAGGUCAUUUGCCAUAAAGAAAAAGAGAACAAAGCGCUGGCUGAAGAAACUUUGUAUAAAUUCUUAAUUUUAUUAUUA
Amblyraja radiata (thorny skate) is the source of this 141-nucleotide long non-coding RNA. RefSeq lists it as uncharacterized. The transcript is spliced from 3 exons. The record is from RefSeq and is a predicted model, not a curated record. Lineage: Eukaryota; Metazoa; Chordata; Chondrichthyes; Rajiformes; Rajidae.